GGAACUCCGGUAAUGAGAUACUCUGUGAGAUAUCGUGCUGAAUGUGAGACUGAAGAGGAGCUCCAGCGUUCAGACUGAAAACAGGAUGUCCCUAACAGUGGCCAGGACUGAGGGGGUGACUGUAUUCAGCAUCACCUCCAAUCCAAAGAGCAAAUGUCCACUGAUCUUCCUGCUUCUACGCACCAUCUGCUGUAGCCCGAUUUGCUUAGUGUCUCGGAACCUGAAGCAGGAGCUGGGCUCUACUUACACAGUUCUGGGGGCUUUACAGAUUCUGGUUGGUGUAAUGAAUGUGGGAUUCGCAUGCAUCGUUAAAAUCUUUGAAAUGCCCACUAUGCUUUUUCAGGCCUACAUUUCACUGGGAGGGCUGAUGAUGCAGAUAGGGCUGGAGAUCACCAUGAUUGUGUUGGGCGUCCUUCAGUUUUAUGUCACGGUCAGCUGGUGUGUUCUGAGCAUGCAGGUUCUGUACAAGGAGAAGAAAGGAGUCAUGAUGGUAAAGAUGUCUUUUAAAGAGUGCUGAUAAUGUUAACAUGUUAACGCAUGUGCUUAAUCUGGAA
This 554-nucleotide long non-coding RNA is filed under the name Astyanax mexicanus (Mexican tetra). RNAcentral describes it as "lncRNA (ENSAMXG00005020252.1)". The record is from RNAcentral. Lineage: Eukaryota; Metazoa; Chordata; Actinopteri; Characiformes; Acestrorhamphidae.